Molecule: long non-coding RNA, 1403 nt
Filed under: Mus musculus (house mouse)
Lineage: Eukaryota; Metazoa; Chordata; Mammalia; Rodentia; Muridae
Description: predicted gene 5535
Source: RNAcentral
UCCGUCUCUCCCCAUGAUUAUCUCCAGAUCCUCAGUUCUACUGCAUUCUGUCUCUCCUGAUUAUCUCCAGACCUGCGGUCCUGUUAGUCAGCAGCUGCCUGCAGAUGGGAUUGCCGGGUUACUAAGACAGUAAAGAAAGGGCGAGGCGAGCCUUCUGUCUGUUUAAAAUCCUUGCAGCCCUUUGCUUGCUGUUUUGAAAUGGUCUUGGAUGUGGUGUUUGGGAGGGGACCCAAAUGUCUGGCAGGAACUUUUCAGUCUCUGGAAUUGGAGGGACCACCAGACUUCCAGCUGCAGGGGAUGGUCUGCCCAGUAACAGGACUCUCAGGAUUCCUUCCAAAGAAAGGGAAUGGACUCCAAUCCUGGGCUGGGUCUGCUUCUGUAACAAGAUCUGCAUGCCAUUUUGAUAAAGAGACUCAUUGUUCUGGUUUGAGGCUUCUGCUACACCAUCAAUACUAGAUCCUCACCAGGACUCCUCUCAGAUAUCCUGAUGUGGCCCUGUGUCAUGGAGAUCAUGGCUUUGGAUCUGUAGGAUCAGCCCCUUCACACACUCCAGCAGUUCAUCGAUAGGCAUAUAGAAAUCUGGGGAUCCUGCUGGUGGCCUGUGGCCCAGGAGGACAGAGCACUCCCAAGAAGACUCCUACUGGGCAUCAUGUAGCGAGGGUUCGGGUCACAACACUCCUCAGAUGACCUCAGAUACCCAGAGGCCCCGAGUGCCACUAAGAUGAGCAAGUAAGUGGUGGAGAGAUGGAAGAGAAAGAGAAGCAGAAGUGUGUGAGCUGGUAGUGAGGAACAGCCUGAUGUGAGUAGCCAGAAAUGCCAUCUGACGCUGUGGUGAGGUCCUUGGCCAUGCUGCUGCUGAGAGCCAUGUCUGUGUCCAUGGCCCUGCAGCAGCAAAGAUCAUGCAACAUCCUGGUUGGGACUGUCACCUGGGGUUAUGUUGAUGUUUGCGCAUCCCUAUGUGCAGAGCUUGCCCCACCCCUCACCAACUGUAGUACUCAGGAGAAUGGGCCAGCACUUCUCCUGUGUAGAGCUGAGCUACGUUGCAGGGAGAAUUGGCCCCUCCCCUCAUUAGGUGUAUGAUGGUAUGGUUGCAAGAAAUGCCCUCCUCCUUCUUACCUCUUGCUACCUCCAUUCCUUGGAAAGAGAGCUGGCCCCGCCCCUAGCCUGAGCAUUGUGAGAGAGUUGCCCUUCUCUUCUCAGUAGAGAGAGUUUUGAGGUCUCCUCCUUAUGUUCUGCCCAGUAUGGAAGACAGCCUCCUCUUGGCUGCCUGCAGAAGAUGUAGAACUCUCAGCUUCUUCUCCAGCACCAUUUCUACCUGGAUGCUGCCAUGCUCCCUGUCAUGGUAAUUAUGGACUGAAUCUUUGAAACUGUAAGCCAGCCCCAAUUAAAUGUUGUCCUUUAUA